UACGUAUGGAGCAAGCGUUAUCCGGAUUUACUGGGUGUAAAGGGUGCGUAGGUGGCAGUGCAAGUCAGAUGUGAAAGGCCGGGGCUCAACCCCGGAGCUGCAUUUGAAACUGCAUAGCUGGAGUACAGGAGAGGUAGGCGGAAUUCCUAGUGUAGCGGUGAAAUGCGUAGAUAUUAGGAGGAACACCAGUGGCGAAGGCGGCCUGCUGGACUGUUACUGACACUGAGGCACGAAAGCGUGGGGAGCAAACAGG
This 253-nucleotide ribosomal RNA is filed under the name Anaerobutyricum hallii. Its description in RNAcentral is "partial 16S ribosomal RNA". It matches the Rfam family "Bacterial small subunit ribosomal RNA", at positions 524 to 776 of the family's 1533-position model. Lineage: Bacteria; Bacillati; Bacillota; Clostridia; Lachnospirales; Lachnospiraceae. The record is from RNAcentral.